This 301-nucleotide ribosomal RNA is filed under the name uncultured bacterium. Its description in RNAcentral is "partial 16S ribosomal RNA". It matches the Rfam family "Bacterial small subunit ribosomal RNA", at positions 509 to 807 of the family's 1533-position model. The record is from RNAcentral.
CAGUAGCCACGGGAAUACGGAGGGUGCAAGCGUUACUCGGAAUCACUGGGCGUAAAGGACGCGUAGGCGGAUUAUCAAGUCUCUUGUGAAAUCUAACGGCUUAACCGUUAAACUGCUUGGGAAACUGAUAAUCUAGAGUAAGGGAGAGGCAGAUGGAAUUCUUGGUGUAGGGGUAAAAUCCGUAGAGAUCAAGAAGAAUACCCAUUGCGAAAGCGAUCUGCUGGAACUUAACUGACGCUAAUGCGUGAAAGCGUGGGGAGCAGACAGGAUUAGAUACCCCAGUAGUCCCUGUCUCUUAUAC